Molecule: ribosomal RNA, 253 nt
Filed under: uncultured bacterium
Lineage: Bacteria
Description: partial 16S ribosomal RNA
Rfam family: Bacterial small subunit ribosomal RNA
Source: RNAcentral
UACGAAGGGGGCUAGCGUUGUUCGGAAUUACUGGGCGUAAAGCGCACGUAGGCGGGCUAUUAAGUCAGGGGUGAAAUCCCGGGGCUCAACCCCGGAACUGCCUUUGAUACUGGUAGUCUCGAGUCCGGAAGAGGUGAGUGGAAUUCCGAGUGUAGAGGUGAAAUUCGUAGAUAUUCGGAGGAACACCAGUGGCGAAGGCGGCUCACUGGUCCGGUACUGACGCUGAGGUGCGAAAGCGUGGGGAGCAAACAGG